Molecule: ribosomal RNA, 253 nt
Filed under: uncultured bacterium
Lineage: Bacteria
Description: partial 16S ribosomal RNA
Rfam family: Bacterial small subunit ribosomal RNA
Source: RNAcentral
UACGGAGGGUGCGAGCGUUGUCCGGAAUCACUGGGCGUAAAGGGCGCGUAGGCGGCGCGGUAAGCGUGCGGUGAAAGUCCGGGGCUCAACCCCGGAUCGGCCGUGCGGACUGCCGGGCUUGAGCACUGUAGGGGCGGGUGGAACUCCAGGUGUAGCGGUGGAAUGCGUAGAGAUCCGGAAGAACACCGGUGGCGAAGGCGGCCCGCUGGGCAGUGGCUGACGCUGAGGCGCGACAGCGUGGGGAGCAAACAGG